GAGGAGAGAGAGAGAGAGAGAGAGAGAGAGAGAGGUGGUGUCACCGCGAUCGGCGGUGAGGAGAUGCCGGGCCUGGGACGUCAAAGAGAGCCGUGUCCCCCCCUACUGCUGGAAACCCUUAUGGGAAUUAGCUCAGCUUUGUUGCAGAGAGAGAAGGGAAGGGAAGAAAAAAAGGGGGAAAGAGAGAGGGGGCUUUGAAAAGGGUGGGAUGAGGAGAAAAGAGGGUGAGAAGAGGGAGUGGAGGGGUAGGGAGAGAGGUGGUGGGGUUUUAAGUUUUCUU
This 280-nucleotide long non-coding RNA is filed under the name Elaeis guineensis (African oil palm). RNAcentral's name for it is "long non-coding RNA (EGUI_LNC042191)". Lineage: Eukaryota; Viridiplantae; Streptophyta; Magnoliopsida; Arecales; Arecaceae. The record is from RNAcentral.